This is a long non-coding RNA of Zeugodacus cucurbitae (melon fly), 570 nucleotides long. RefSeq lists it as uncharacterized. The record is from RefSeq and is a predicted model, not a curated record. Lineage: Eukaryota; Metazoa; Arthropoda; Insecta; Diptera; Tephritidae. The transcript is spliced from 3 exons.
GCUUUAGUGACAAUAUUAACGCUUAUUGCGAAGAUUCAACAAAGCUUUUUAAAACUGUGACACAAUCGUGACUUCCAAGUUAUACAUUUAAAACCGUUAAACGUUUGUGGUUUUCUCCGGUAAAGGGGAUUUUUCUAGUAUCCAGCACUAAACGGUCUAUAAUUCUCGCAAAAAAGGAAGUUGUUGAACAACAUGAAGUUCGUUGUUUCUUUGUCGGUUGUGGUCUUACUCGCAUUGGUUUUGGGUGGUGGUUGGGGAGGUAACGGAGGACGAGGUGGUCGUGGAAGUGGUAGAGGCGGUGGAGGUGGCGGAGGCAGUGGUGUUGGUGAUGGCGGCGAUGGUCACUGAAACAAAAUAAUGUUUGAACGAACAAUCAUAUUACCUCAGAAUAUGUUGAUCAUAAAAGUAAAAUAUUUAUUGAUUGAAAAUUAAAUUUUAAAUGUUUAAUGUAAGGUUAGAAAGAAGAUAAAUAUACAUACAUACUUAAUAUUUUUCAGAACUAAAAAAUUAGGACUUUUAUAUUUUAUAAUAAAGCUUCCAAUUUAUAAUUGUUAUUGUGACAGCAUAAAA